GCACGUAGUUAGCCGGUGCUUCUUCUGCGCAGUAACGUCACAGUUGCUGGGUAUUAGCCAACAACCUUUCCUCCUCGCUGAAAGUGCUUUACAACCCGAAGGCCUUCUUCACCCACGCGGUAUGGCUGGAUCAGGCUUUCGCCCAUUGUCCAAAAUUCCCCA
RNAcentral lists this ribosomal RNA (162 nucleotides) under uncultured bacterium. RNAcentral describes it as "partial 16S ribosomal RNA". The record is from RNAcentral.